UCAUGAAUAAUGAUUAUCUUAACACCCAAAACUGCAUAUAACAAUAGCAGGUACUACCCAAAAAUUUCAGUGGUAAACAAGGCAUAAAGGUGACCAAACCAGGGUGGCCUAUUGGGUCCCAUCAAAGUUAAACCUAAACAUGCCAAAGUGAUUAUAAAGAACAUUGUUGGGUAAAUAAAAGUGGUCAAGGGCACAACAUGUCUUCAAUGAGCUCCUGCUCAGUAGUUUCCACCUGCUGAGUACCAGGCUCCUCAAUUACUUGCUCGUCUACUCGCAACAAUACAAACAUACAUGACAUAGGAGAAAUUAACAUUACAUCAAACAUAAGAACAAAGUGCAUGAUAAUAAUCUACGCAUCAUAACGAGAUCCUAGGUUCGAGAACCACUAAAUUCGGAGUUACAGUUGUCAAGUUAUGAUUUUCCGAAGGAUUAAGUGUUAGAUAUAAAACAAAUUAAGUGCAUAAUUUUAAUCCAUGUUUCAUAACAAAACAAAGUUACCAGAUGAUAAACAAUAUUAUUAUGAAUUUAAUGCAACUGGAAUGGACCAAAAAGGAGUUAAAAUGGAUUUAUUAUGAAUUAAACUAGUUUAUGAAAUUAUUAUUUUUUUAAAAAAAUCAUUUUUCUGAUUAAAUUCUGAAUUUUUCUAAUGGCUGUGGACUGUGCACACAAAUUCCGGAAUCCACAGGGUUCACUAUGUAAAACUCUAGGCGCGGUUGUAAUUAUUUUAUACCUGCAGUGGACGGUGGGUUGAUUUCUCUAAAACACAGGGUCUCUUACGUAAAAUGUGCACGAUGAAGGGGUACUAUCAGACCUCGGCCGCCCGAUCUAAAGUGGAAGACACGGAUUAUAUCUGGCGUCAUCCGAACUGGUAUGCUACGCAGGAUCUUGGAUCUAGAUCCAAUGCUCCGUGUUUUAUGAAAGCAGGGCCCAAUCCCGGCCACCGAUCGCUCACCCAACGGCUCCGAUUUAAUUAGACGUGAUGAGAUCCCCUCCCUGCAAUCGCAGAUCCACGGUCCCGUUUCGGAGUACGCGAAAGGAUACGCGUGCUCCAACCUAGACCGUCCGAUAGAGGAUCGACGGCCACCACGUCUCUCUCUCCCCUGGCCCGACUGAGGCGGUGGCACGCACGCCGACUGCUACGGCGGCGGCGGCAGAGGAGUACUGCCCUGGCCAUAACGCACCCACAAGCAUGCACGGCAACGGUUACACGUACGGGAAAUCAAGGCGACUCGAUUGGGAGAAGACUUACCGGCCGAUUAAGUCGCGGACAGGGUCGACCAC
Molecule: long non-coding RNA, 1281 nt
Filed under: Zea mays
Lineage: Eukaryota; Viridiplantae; Streptophyta; Magnoliopsida; Poales; Poaceae
Description: long non-coding RNA (ZMAY_LNC005344)
Source: RNAcentral